Molecule: long non-coding RNA, 1745 nt
Organism: Lotus japonicus
Lineage: Eukaryota; Viridiplantae; Streptophyta; Magnoliopsida; Fabales; Fabaceae
Exons: 9
Source: RefSeq, a predicted model, not a curated record
GGGUUUAAGAUUAGUCAACCAACCUCUCAAAUAGUCUCGUUGGUUCCCAUUUAUUUAGGAUUUAGUGACUCCCUUAUACUGUUCCAGCUUCGCCUUAUUCAGUGUUAAGAAGGCCUCUGAAGAUAACAAAUAUCUGAGAACUAACUGUCGUUGUUGUUUUCAGGUGAUAGAGAGAGCAAAAGAAGGUGAGAGUUUGGAUGAACUGCGGGCUCGAACAGCUGCACAAUUUAGUGAAGAUAAUGGAUUUCAAAAUGCUGAUAGGUUGUCCAAGAAAAGGAAGCUCAGUAUUUUAGAUGAAUGAAUAUUAAGUUUAAAGAUCUACAACUGAAUGAAGGUGCAUCAUCUUUUGAUGGACGGCCUCAAUCCUCUGCAUGGCGCAACAGCGACAUCUCAGCAUUUAAAUCAAUAGUCAUUUGGAAGGAAGUGGCUACUUAGAUGUGCGGGACAAAGGUGAUCGAUGGAUUCGCAUUUGGAUGAAGUGGCUACUUAGAUGUGCGGGACCUGCUGGAAUCUAUCAUCGGUUCACUUUUGACACAAGUAACUAUGUGAAGGCUUUCAAAUUGAGACUGGUGGGGUCAAGCAAGUAUUCAAGUUUUUUGGACUAUGGAUAUUGGGUUGCUGAUGUUAAGCGUUUGAUCAAUCCUUAUUUUGACAUGGUUCCAGCAUUAUGGUGUUGCAGAAGAGGCUAGAUCAUAGAUUUAAUGGCUAUUAGGUGCCAACCAAGCCCCGAGCUACCCGCUCCCCUAGGGUAAAUAAGUUUUGCUGGACCAGGUUCAAGUUCAAGAGGAAUGAGACCAAUAGAGAAUCCCGAGAACACUGGCAGAAGGGGUCCAAUGCCCUGACAUGGGAGGAGUUGAUUCAACCUCUGCCCGUGCUUGGGAACUCAGAACCUCCUUGAAAAUUCACCUGAGAAGAAGCACCGUCUCCCAUAUGCUUACAAUCGUUUCAUGAAGUUCCUUAUCUGAAUAUUCUCAUAUCAAAUAUUAAUCGGGGGGUUUCUUUCCACUUCUGAGUUCAUGACACAUGCUGAAUAAUAAGGAUUAGAUUAAGAGAAGAAGGUGGAUGAUGGCAACAAAACAAUAGACCAAGGGGAGAAAAAUUUGUAUUGGAGGUGUUUGAUCCGGCGAACUAUGUUAAGAAUGGGACUACUUUCUACUUUCCUUUGAUUCUGUAGGCUGUAACUGAAGAAUAAACAGGAAGGGAAUGAUGCUGCUACUGUUGCAAAGGAGAAACACUCAGCAAAGGAAAAAAAUCAUAAAAGGAAAAAGGGCUUUUCCAUGGGAGAUGUAUGAUGGAGACCAUAGUAAUAGAAGAUUUAAGGAAGAUUUUGGUUUCAUAUAUUAUAAGGCAGUGUUACAAGUAAGUGUGCUGGAUAAAGAGUGUCAUACUUGAUUUGAACUGAGGAUGAUUCAUCUACAGAAUAAGCAAGGAACUGCAGAUGAAUUAGAGGAUAGAAGGAGUUCUCAAAAUUAUUUGCUGGCUUGCAAAGACCAUAGUGGAUAAGCAAGUAACUGCAGGUGAAUUAGAGGAUAUGAGUUCUCAAACUUAUUUGCUGGCUUGCAAAGACCAUGGAUAUUGUGGGAUUCUUCAUCUUUAAACAUGUAAUAUAUGUUUUAAUAACGAGAACUUACAAUGGUUGAUUUAGUUGGGAAGCUGCUCAUUCUCUUUUUUAUAUUGUGAUCUGUACAUGUAUGAUCUUAUCUCAAUCUUUUUGCAAUGUGGGGAAUUUGAAGGUGGCUGAUAUA